RNAcentral lists this ribosomal RNA (484 nucleotides) under uncultured bacterium. RNAcentral's name for it is "partial 16S ribosomal RNA". It matches the Rfam family "Bacterial small subunit ribosomal RNA", at positions 30 to 507 of the family's 1533-position model. The record is from RNAcentral.
AUUGAACGCUGGCGGCAGGCCUAACACAUGCAAGUCGAGCGGAUGAAGGGAGCUUGCUCCUGGAUUCAGCGGCGGACGGGUGAGUCAUGCCUAGGAAUCUGCCUGGUAGUGGGGGAUAACGUCCGGAAACGGGCGCUAAUACCGCAUACGUCCUGCGUGAGAAAGUGGGGGGUCUUCGGACCUCACGCUAUCAGAUGAGCCUAGGUCGGAUUAGCUAGUUGGUGGGGUAAAGGCCUACCAAGGCGACGAUCCGUAACUGAUCUGAGAGGAUGAGCCGGCACACUGGAACUGAGACACCGUCCAGACUCCGACGGGAGGCAGCAGUGGGGAAUGUUGGACGAUGGGCGAAAGCCUGAUCCAACCAUGCCGCGUGUGUGAAGAAGGGCUUCGGAUUGUAAAGCACUUUAAGUUGGGAGGAAGGGCAGUAAGUUAAUACCUUGCUGUUUUGACGGUACCAACAGAAUAAGCACCGGCUAACUUCGUG